UACAGAGGGGGCAAGCGUUGUUCGGAAUUACUGGGCGUAAAGGGCGCGUAGGCGGCCUUCUAAGUCGGACGUGAAAUCCCUCGGCUUAACCGAGGAACUGCGUCCGAUACUGAAAGGCUUGAAUCCGGGAGAGGGAUGUGGAAUUCCAGGUGUAGCGGUGAAAUGCUUAGAUAUGACAUAGAACACCAAUUGCGAAGGCAGCUUACUACACAGUUAUUGACGCUGAGGCACGAAAGCGUGGGGAUCAAACAGG
Molecule: ribosomal RNA, 253 nt
Filed under: uncultured bacterium
Lineage: Bacteria
Description: partial 16S ribosomal RNA
Rfam family: Bacterial small subunit ribosomal RNA
Source: RNAcentral